Molecule: ribosomal RNA, 492 nt
Filed under: uncultured bacterium
Lineage: Bacteria
Description: partial 16S ribosomal RNA
Rfam family: Bacterial small subunit ribosomal RNA
Source: RNAcentral
AGUGAACGCUGGCGGUAGGCCUAACACAUGCAAGUCGAACGGCAGCACAGUAAGAGCUUGCUCUUACGGGUGGCGAGUGGCGGACGGGUGAGGAAUACAUCGGAAUCUACUUUUUCGUGGGUGAUAACGUAGGGAAACUUACGCUAAUACCGCAUACGACCUACGGGUUAAAGCAGGGGAGCUUCGGACCUUGCGCGAUUGAAUUAGCCGAUGUCGGAUUAGCUAGUUGGCGUGGUAAAGGCCCACCAAGGCAACGAUCCGUAGCUGGUCUGAGAGGAUGAUCAGCCACACUGGAACUGAGACACGGUCCAGACUCCUACGGGAGGCAGCAGUGGGGAAUAUUGGACAAAGGGCGCAAGCCUGAUCCAGCCAUACCGCGUGGGUGAAGAAGGCCUUCGGGUUGUAAAGCCCUUUUGUUGGGAAAGAAAAGCAGCAGGUUAAUACCCCGCUGUUCUGACGGUACCCAAAGAAUAAGCACCGGCUAACUUCGUG